CACUGAUCUCUCCGUGAUCAUAGGGGCCAUGUAUGCAGCCGUAUUAUUUGUGGGAAUCAACAAUUGCUCAACAGUACAACCAAUUGUAGCAGUUGAAAGAACAGUAUUUUAUCGCACAAGAGCAGCUGGGAUGUACUCUGCAAUCCCUUAUGCCUUAUCACAGGUAUUUGUCGAGAUAGCAUAUGUGCUUGUCCAAACCAUAUACUACACUCUUAUAGUGUAUGCAAUGGUGUGCUUCGAAUGGACAGCUGCAAAAUUCUUCUGGUUCUUCUUCAUAACAUUUUUCUCCUUCCUCUACUUCACAUACUACGGAAUGAUGACUGUGUCAAUCACACCAAACCAGCAAGUAGCCGCCAUUUUUGCAGCUGCAUUUUACGCGCUCUUCAAUCUCUUCUCCAGUUUCUUCAUCCCCAAACCAAAAAUUCCUAAGUAG
Molecule: RNA transcript, 433 nt
Organism: Daucus carota subsp. sativus
Lineage: Eukaryota; Viridiplantae; Streptophyta; Magnoliopsida; Apiales; Apiaceae
Exons: 3
Source: RefSeq, a predicted model, not a curated record